Molecule: ribosomal RNA, 269 nt
Filed under: uncultured bacterium
Lineage: Bacteria
Description: partial 16S ribosomal RNA
Rfam family: Bacterial small subunit ribosomal RNA
Source: RNAcentral
UACAGAGGUGGCAAGCGUUGUUCGGAAUCACUGGGCGUAAAGGGCGCGUAGGCGGCAUGCCAAGCGUGUGGUGAAAGCCCGGGGCUCAACCCCGGGUCGGCCGUGCGGACUGGCGUGCUCGAGCACUGUAGGGGCGGGUGGAAUUCCGGGUGUAGCGGUGGAAUGCGUAGAGAUCCGGAAGAACACCGGUGGCGAAGGCGGCCCGCUGGGCAGGAAGGCUCGCAAGAGCCGGCUGACGCUGAGGCGCGACAGCGUGGGGAGCAAACAGG